RNAcentral lists this transfer RNA (77 nucleotides) under Clostridiales bacterium. Its description in RNAcentral is "tRNA-Pro". It matches the Rfam family "tRNA". Rfam says of the family: Transfer RNA (tRNA) molecules are approximately 80 nucleotides in length. Their secondary structure includes four short double-helical elements and three loops (D, anti-codon, and T loops). RNAcentral also lists the same sequence under 3 other names. The record is from RNAcentral. Lineage: Bacteria; Bacillati; Bacillota; Clostridia; Eubacteriales.
CGGGGUGUAGCGCAGUCUGGUAGCGCACGUGCUUUGGGAGCAUGGGGCCGCAGGUUCGAAUCCUGUCACCCCGACCA